CCUACGGGCGGCAGCAGUGAGGAAUAUUGGUCAAUGGCCGAAAGUCUGAACCAGCCAUGCCGCGUGCAGGAAGACGGCUCUAUGAGUUGUAAACUGCUUUUGUCCGAGAGUAAACGCACCUACGUGUCUCUGUCUGACAGUAUCGUACGAAUAAGGAUCGGCUAACUCCGUGCCAGCAGCCGCGGUAAUACGGAGGAUUCGAGCGUUAUCCGGAUUUAUUGGGUUUAAAGGGUGCGUAGGCGGUGGGAUAAGUUAGAGGUGAAAUCCCGAGGCUCAACUUCGGAAUUGCCUCUGAUACUGUUCGGCUAGAGAGUAGUGGCGGUAGGCGGAAUGUAUGGUGUAGCGGUGAAAUGCUUAGAGAUCAUACAGAACACCGAUUGCGAAGGCAGCUUACCAAGCCACUUCUGACGUUGAGGCACGAAAGCGUGGGGAGCAAACAGGAUUAGAUACCCUUGUAGUC
This 460-nucleotide ribosomal RNA is filed under the name uncultured bacterium. RNAcentral describes it as "partial 16S ribosomal RNA". It matches the Rfam family "Bacterial small subunit ribosomal RNA", at positions 338 to 795 of the family's 1533-position model. The record is from RNAcentral.